GCCAGCAGCCAUGUCAUCCUUCAACUCACGACUGGGAGCCCACUGAAGCUCAGCAGGUGUGAGCCUGGGCAGUACCUGGAUAGGAGACCUCCUGGGAAAAACCAAGGUUGCUGCUGGAA
Molecule: ribosomal RNA, 119 nt
Organism: Lepisosteus oculatus (spotted gar)
Lineage: Eukaryota; Metazoa; Chordata; Actinopteri; Semionotiformes; Lepisosteidae
Source: Rfam